Molecule: long non-coding RNA, 835 nt
Organism: Armigeres subalbatus
Lineage: Eukaryota; Metazoa; Arthropoda; Insecta; Diptera; Culicidae
Exons: 3
Source: RefSeq, a predicted model, not a curated record
AAAGUGCCUAAGUCAGCUACUUCGUUCGCAUUUUCCCGAUUUCUUCGGUCCUCAAACAAAUAUUGCUGCAGAUGUGAUAAUUUAUUGGUAAGAACGAAGUUUUUUCCCAUGGUAAAUUUUACAGACAUGCGCGACGCCAAAAUUGGAAUAUAGUGCGGAACCUGAAUACUAAAAAUGCUGCAGCUUACCUAUAACAAAGCUGUGUCAAUUAGAACCAUGUAACAUGGUCUAUUUUUCCAGGAUUGAAUCAAUAUACCCACAAUGUGGAUUGAAGGAACGCGUUCGACCUGAUGUAAUCUUCGCAGCUGCAUUCUCCGGAGGCUCCAAAAUUUCAAUGGUAUGUAGCAGUACUGAACAAUUGUGAUCUAUUCACUAAAAUUUUCCGUUAUAUCUCCCACUGUCCGCCAGUGAAAGUAUUAUUUCUACGUAAAGUUAAGAGACUUACAAUGAUAUGGAAAUGCCAAUAUCAUCUUCCUAACUUAGACAUACAUGAUCAUGAUAGAAUUAGAAGCGAAAGUAUAAAAUUGAUAGUUCCGGUAGGAUACGGCAGGUAUGAAGAUUGUUUUUAUAGAAGUCGAUUUGAAAGCGAGCGGAGGGCAAUAUUUGUGAUGGCAUAUAUCACACGACCUUCCUUCUGCCAAACUCAAGACCAAACUCCCGUAUGAAGGAUAUCCCAGCGGAGAUAUAUCAGCUUCCACAUUGAUAUGCUUCCCUCCCCCUUCUUACGGAAGUUUGGCAGAAGGAAGAUCGUGCGAUAUAUACCAUCAUAAAUAUUGUCCUCCGCUCGCUUUCAAAUCGACUUCUAUAAAAACGUUCUUCAUGCCUGCCUUAUCUA